CUGCAACCUGUCCUGUGGGUGGAGAGAUUCUGGGUUCCCCAACUCUGAUUUGAGGACCUCCUCAGCCCCUGCCUGGUGACAGUUGGAUCCCCUUCUGCUAUCAGUGUUUGCCUCUGAAGAAUCCACAAACCUCAGGAUGCAGUCACCGUCAUCUGUGAUUUUCUAGACAAACUGUGGAUGUGGAGAAGCUUCACUCUGGGGCCUGCACAGCAUUAGUUACAAAAGGAAUUUCUCCCUCCUUCGCGAUCAUGGUCAGCAACUGUCUCGAGACUGCAUCUGAAUCGGAGGACCUAGUAGAGCCCUUUGGACUGGACAGCAGUUCUCCAGGGCAGCUUCGAAGGUCCAGCAGGCCCUAACAGACUUGUUGGACAACACUGCCUUGAUGUCCGGAUUCAGCUGCCUUGUUUCUUAGUCAAAGGACUCCAAUAAUGACAAAGAGCCUGCGUUCAUUUUCUAAGAUUAUAAGUUAGCAUUUCCUGGG
This 481-nucleotide long non-coding RNA is filed under the name Heterocephalus glaber (naked mole-rat). RNAcentral describes it as "lncRNA (ENSHGLG00100039991.1)". Lineage: Eukaryota; Metazoa; Chordata; Mammalia; Rodentia; Bathyergidae. The record is from RNAcentral.